This 494-nucleotide ribosomal RNA is filed under the name uncultured bacterium. RNAcentral's name for it is "partial 16S ribosomal RNA". It matches the Rfam family "Bacterial small subunit ribosomal RNA", at positions 29 to 507 of the family's 1533-position model. The record is from RNAcentral.
ACGCACGCUGGCGGCGCGCUUAACCCAUGCAAGUCGAACGGAAAGGCCUGCUUUCCCUUGUGGAUUGCGGGUACUCGAGUGGCGAACGGGUGAGUAACACGUGAGUGAUCUGCCCCCAACUUGGGUAUAAGCCUGGGAAACUGGGUCUAAUUCCCGAUAGGACUGCAGGGUGGUGCCUGUGGUGGAAAACGAUUUUUCUAGUGGUUGGGGAUGAGCUCGCGGCCUAUCAGCUUGUUGGUGGGGUAAUGGCCUACCAAGGCGGCGACGGGUAGCCGGCCUGAGAGGGUGGACGGCCACAUUGGGACUGAGAUACGGCCCAGACUCCGACGGGAGGCAGCAGUGGGGAAUAUUGCACAAUGGGCGGAAGCCUGAUGCAGCGACGCCGCGUGGGGGAUGACGGCCUUCGGGUUGUAAACUCCUUUCGACCGCGAGGAAGCCACCUGGUUGGAAGGGUGGUGACGGUAGUGGUGGAAGAAGCACCGGCUAACUACGUG